This 434-nucleotide ribosomal RNA is filed under the name uncultured Clostridium sp. Its description in RNAcentral is "partial 16S ribosomal RNA". It matches the Rfam family "Bacterial small subunit ribosomal RNA", at positions 341 to 792 of the family's 1533-position model. Lineage: Bacteria; Bacillati; Bacillota; Clostridia; Eubacteriales; Clostridiaceae. RNAcentral also lists the same sequence under 1 other name. The record is from RNAcentral.
ACGGAAGGCAGCAGUGGGGAAUAUUGCACAAUGGGCGAAAGCCUGAUGCAGCGACGCCGCGUGAGUGAAGAAGUAUCUCGGUAUGUAAAGCUCUAUCAGCAGGGAAGAAAAUGACGGUACCUGACUAAGAAGCCCCGGCUAACUACGUGCCAGCAGCCGCGGUAAUACGUAGGGGGCAAGCGUUAUCCGGAUUUACUGGGUGUAAAGGGAGCGUAGACGGUUUGGCAAGUCUGAAGUGAAAUGCGGGGGCUCAGCUCCUGAACUGCUUUGGAAACUGUCGAACUAGAGUGCAGGAGAGGUAAGUGGAAUUCCUAGUGUAGCGGUGAAAUGCGUAGAUAUUAGGAGGAACACCAGUGGCGAAGGCGGCUUACUGGACUGUAACUGACGUUGAGGCUCGAAAGCGUGGGGAGCAAACAGGAUUAGAUACCCUGGUA